CUGAUCGUUUCAGCCUUGAUGAUUCCCUCUCGUCGAAUGCCUAAGAUUGCGUUGUCUAACAUUGGGUGUGAUUUGAGGAAGAUUUGAUAGUUGUUUCGAAAAGGUGGGCAACCACAUAGAAAUUCCCUCGUUAGUUCAUCUUCUGUGGUAAAAGAGGCCAAAGAGA
Octopus sinensis (East Asian common octopus) is the source of this 166-nucleotide long non-coding RNA. RefSeq lists it as uncharacterized. The transcript has 4 exons. The record is from RefSeq and is a predicted model, not a curated record. NCBI's taxonomy places the organism in Eukaryota, Metazoa, Mollusca, Cephalopoda, Octopoda, Octopodidae.